RNAcentral lists this ribosomal RNA (627 nucleotides) under Triticum aestivum (bread wheat). RNAcentral describes it as "partial small subunit ribosomal RNA". The record is from RNAcentral. Lineage: Eukaryota; Viridiplantae; Streptophyta; Magnoliopsida; Poales; Poaceae.
AUGGACAUCGGCCUGGCUGCUCUUGCUGCUUCUUACCUCGGCGGGGAGGAAGCCGUCAAGAAGCCUGACAGCAGUCCAUCCGCAGGAGAGGGAAAGGUAUUGAUUUUCCGCAGGCGCCCAAUCACACAGGAUUCCCCGUCCUUGAAUCCCCCUGCUUAUGGCUACCCCGACGGCGGUGGCGACCAGCCAAGCUUCGUCUUGAUCGAGCCAUACGCCUUCUUUGCCGACCGCCGCAACGCCACCACCGCCGACUGCGGCUUGGAGGGUCUCCGUCUCCGGGGUAACAUCGAGGUCACCUUCUGCACCGCCCAACCACCGCAGGUCUCCUACCUAUGCUUCCACGUCACCGCCUACGACCACAACGUGUUCGCCACCCGGCCUAGCAUAGUCGCCACAGAGACUGACGGUGGGCUCGUCCUCCUAUGCGUCGUAGUCGGUGAUUGCCCAUCCGAUGCGUUGUAUCGCGGCAAUCGACACUACUUCGUCUACGACGCCAGUGUUCCCGAGCUCAAGCACAUCAAGCAGCCCGGCAACGACCACCCAGAGCUAAUGGGUUCAGAUAUGGCAAUCCUUCUCACCUCUGCCUCUAUGACCAUGAUACCAACUCCUGGAGCAAGCUGCCAGUGA